This is a non-coding RNA of Dipodomys ordii (Ord's kangaroo rat), 70 nucleotides long. The record is from Rfam. NCBI's taxonomy places the organism in Eukaryota, Metazoa, Chordata, Mammalia, Rodentia, Heteromyidae.
GGGAAGGUGGCUCAGUGGUAGAGCGCUUACCUUGAAUGCAUGAGGCCAUAGGUUCAAUUCCUCAUCACCA